This 459-nucleotide ribosomal RNA is filed under the name uncultured Proteiniphilum sp. RNAcentral describes it as "bacterial SSU rRNA". It matches the Rfam family "Bacterial small subunit ribosomal RNA", at positions 923 to 1382 of the family's 1533-position model. Lineage: Bacteria; Pseudomonadati; Bacteroidota; Bacteroidia; Bacteroidales; Dysgonomonadaceae. The record is from RNAcentral.
GCACAAGCGGAGGAACAUGUGGUUUAAUUCGAUGAUACGCGAGGAACCUUACCCGGGCUUGAAAUGCAUCUGACCGGCCUUGAAAGAGGCACUCCCUUCGGGGCAGAUGUGUAGGUGCUGCAUGGUUGUCGUCAGCUCGUGCCGUGAGGUGUCGGCUUAAGUGCCAUAACGAGCGCAACCCUCAUCAUUAGUUACCAUCAGGUAAGGCUGGGGACUCUAAUGAGACUGCCAUCGUAAGAUGUGAGGAAGGUGGGGAUGACGUCAAAUCAGCACGGCCCUUACGUCCGGGGCGACACACGUGUUACAAUGGGUGGUACAAAGGGCAGCUACCUGGCGACAGGAUGCUAAUCUCGAAAACCGCUCUCAGUUCGGAUCGGAGUCUGCAACUCGACUCCGUGAAGCUGGAUUCGCUAGUAAUCGCGCAUCAGCCACGGCGCGGUGAAUACGUUCCCGGGCCUU